RNAcentral lists this transfer RNA (80 nucleotides) under Vibrio splendidus. Its description in RNAcentral is "tRNA-OTHER". It matches the Rfam family "tRNA". Rfam says of the family: Transfer RNA (tRNA) molecules are approximately 80 nucleotides in length. The record is from RNAcentral. Lineage: Bacteria; Pseudomonadati; Pseudomonadota; Gammaproteobacteria; Vibrionales; Vibrionaceae.
CGCGGGAUGGAGCAGUUUGGUAGCUCGUCGAGAACUUCAUAACCCGAAGGUCGUCGGUUCAAAUCCGGCUCCCGCAACCA